This 1556-nucleotide ribosomal RNA is filed under the name Escherichia coli. RNAcentral describes it as "bacterial SSU rRNA". It matches the Rfam family "Bacterial small subunit ribosomal RNA". The record is from RNAcentral. Lineage: Bacteria; Pseudomonadati; Pseudomonadota; Gammaproteobacteria; Enterobacterales; Enterobacteriaceae.
UUAAAUUGAAGAGUUUGAUCAUGGCUCAGAUUGAACGCUGGCGGCAGGCCUAACACAUGCAAGUCGAACGGUAACAGGAAGAAGCUUGCUUCUUUGCUGACGAGUGGCGGACGGGUGAGUAAUGUCUGGGAAACUGCCUGAUGGAGGGGGAUAACUACUGGAAACGGUAGCUAAUACCGCAUAACGUCGCAAGACCAAAGAGGGGGACCUUAGGGCCUCUUGCCAUCGGAUGUGCCCAGAUGGGAUUAGCUAGUAGGUGGGGUAACGGCUCACCUAGGCGACGAUCCCUAGCUGGUCUGAGAGGAUGACCAGCCACACUGGAACUGAGACACGGUCCAGACUCCUACGGGAGGCAGCAGUGGGGAAUAUUGCACAAUGGGCGCAAGCCUGAUGCAGCCAUGCCGCGUGUAUGAAGAAGGCCUUCGGGUUGUAAAGUACUUUCAGCGGGGAGGAAGGGAGUAAAGUUAAUACCUUUACUCAUUGACGUUACCCGCAGAAGAAGCACCGGCUAACUCCGUGCCAGCAGCCGCGGUAAUACGGAGGGUGCAAGCGUUAAUCGGAAUUACUGGGCGUAAAGCGCACGCAGGCGGUUUGUUAAGUCAGAUGUGAAAUCCCCGGGCUCAACCUGGGAACUGCAUCUGAUACUGGCAAGCUUGAGUCUCGUAGAGGGGGGUAGAAUUCCAGGUGUAGCGGUGAAAUGCGUAGAGAUCUGGAGGAAUACCGGUGGCGAAGGCGGCCCCCUGGACGAAGACUGACGCUCAGGUGCGAAAGCGUGGGGAGCAAACAGGAUUAGAUACCCUGGUAGUCCACGCCGUAAACGAUGUCGACUUGGAGGUUGUGCCCUUGAGGCGUGGCUUCCGGAGCUAACGCGUUAAGUCGACCGCCUGGGGAGUACGGCCGCAAGGUUAAAACUCAAAUGAAUUGACGGGGGCCCGCACAAGCGGUGGAGCAUGUGGUUUAAUUCGAUGCAACGCGAAGAACCUUACCUGGUCUUGACAUCCACGGAAGUUUUCAGAGAUGAGAAUGUGCCUUCGGGAACCGUGAGACAGGUGCUGCAUGGCUGUCGUCAGCUCGUGUUGUGAAAUGUUGGGUUAAGUCCCGCAACGAGCGCAACCCUUAUCCUUUGUUGCCAGCGGUCCGGCCGGGAACUCAAAGGAGACUGCCAGUGAUAAACUGGAGGAAGGUGGGGAUGACGUCAAGUCAUCAUGGCCCUUACGACCAGGGCUACACACGUGCUACAAUGGCGCAUACAAAGAGAAGCGACCUCGCGAGAGCAAGCGGACCUCAUAAAGUGCGUCGUAGUCCGGAUUGGAGUCUGCAACUCGACUCCAUGAAGUCGGAAUCGCUAGUAAUCGUGGAUCAGAAUGCCACGGUGAAUACGUUCCCGGGCCUUGUACACACCGCCCGUCACACCAUGGGAGUGGGUUGCAAAAGAAGUAGGUAGCUUAACCUUCGGGAGGGCGCUUACCACUUUGUGAUUCAUGACUGGGGUGAAGUCGUAACAAGGUAACCGUAGGGGAACCUGCGGUUGGAUCACCUCCUUACCUUAAAGAAGC